Molecule: non-coding RNA, 316 nt
Organism: Pelobates cultripes (western spadefoot toad)
Lineage: Eukaryota; Metazoa; Chordata; Amphibia; Anura; Pelobatidae
Source: the annotation of a GenBank genome assembly
GCUAUUUUUUACACAUGCGAAACUGAACAUUGUGUGAUGUCCAAAACAAAUUAGAGAGGUUUAUAUUAGAUAUCCUGGUGGGAAGAGCCACAGAGCUUCUGUCCAGUCAAAUUGAAAAUACCACUUUGACUGGGAUUACACAAAGACUUGUUUAACCCUUUUGUUUCAUUCUAGUUUUCCCACACCCCAUGUGAGUCGCCAGAAAGUGUGUCUGAAAAGGACAGAAAACUGUAUUCAGGAUAAGUACUUUUCAUCUAUUGUGUUGGAAAUUAUUUUCGAGUAAGAAUCCUGUAUUAUAACUUAUACAUUUUCAAAG